GUGUCUCUAUCUAGAGUUUGAUCCUGGCUCAGGAUGAACGCUAGCUACAGGCUUAACACAUAGCAAGUCGAACGAAGGGAAAUAGGGAGCUUGCUCCUAUGGAACUUAGUGGCGAACGGGUGAGUAACGCGUAAUCAACCUGCCCUUCAGAGGGGGACAACAGAUGGAAACGUCUGCUAAUACCGCAUACGUUCUUGUUAUCGCAUGAUGAUGAGAAGAAAGGUGGCCUCUUGAAAAAGCUACCACUGAAGGAGGGGAUUGCGUCUGAUUAGCUAGUUGGAGGGGUAACGGCCCACCAAGGCGAUGAUCAGUAGCCGGUCUGAGAGGAUGAACGGCCACAUUGGGACUGAGACACGGCCCAA
Molecule: ribosomal RNA, 362 nt
Filed under: uncultured bacterium
Lineage: Bacteria
Description: bacterial SSU rRNA
Rfam family: Bacterial small subunit ribosomal RNA
Source: RNAcentral